Molecule: non-coding RNA, 332 nt
Organism: Cinara cedri
Lineage: Eukaryota; Metazoa; Arthropoda; Insecta; Hemiptera; Aphididae
Source: the annotation of a GenBank genome assembly
AAUUAACAUGUCUACUGCACACAGAAUCAAAUCCGUCGCCCGGUACGUCUAAACAAACAAAUGGAUUUAAACAAAAGUUGCAAUCAUCUUAUAUUAUACCAUGACUAACGGAAUCGAACCGAAAUUCAAUGAUCAAACAAGAAACGCACUACCCCGAUGAGACAUUAUGAGAACUCGGAUAUCCUUUCGUUAAGGAUAACCAAUUAACAACACAUUUGCACGCACAACAACGGGUGAAAUACAGAAAUAGAACGGGAGUUUUAUUUCGUGUGCAGUGCGCGUACAACGACGUCCACGCAUAUAUAACGCGUAGAGAACGUAAAACAUCUCCC